AUUGUGCUACAGAGAGUUAAAAAAAAAAAUCCAACCUCUCUAAACAGAGAAACCCUAAAAAAAAGUCCCACACCCGUACUGUUUUCUCUUUCUCUUCUUCUUCUCCGCCACUUAGAAACGAAAUUGACGAGGAGGAUGACCGGAAGUUCUGAACGGAUCCAAGCUCAGUUGGGUUGGGUCGAGGAAGAAACCCGACGACUCUCCACCAUCUGCGAGAGGCGAACCCACGGCGGAGCUUCUCUUCCUCGGUAGGGAGACAGAGAAGACAGAGGAAGAGGACGACGGCGGUGAAGAUACAGGAGCGACGGUGGUCUGUUCGUCUAGUGUGGGACUCUGUUUUUAUAACAUUUGAUGAUUCACGUCUGCUUUUGUUUGCAACCUGAUAAGGAAGAUGAACCUGAGCUAGAGACUAGUGGAAAGGAUGACAAGGGGG
Long non-coding RNA from Raphanus sativus (radish), 433 nucleotides. RefSeq lists it as uncharacterized. Lineage: Eukaryota; Viridiplantae; Streptophyta; Magnoliopsida; Brassicales; Brassicaceae. The transcript has 3 exons. The record is from RefSeq and is a predicted model, not a curated record.